This 681-nucleotide small RNA is filed under the name Pan troglodytes (chimpanzee). Its description in RNAcentral is "processed transcript". The record is from RNAcentral. Lineage: Eukaryota; Metazoa; Chordata; Mammalia; Primates; Hominidae.
UGGUCCCUCGGUCCGUGUCCCGCCCGUGCUGCCGCGGCCUGGGAGCCCAGCGGGGCCGGAGGGACGGCCGGACCCAGUGUAUGCGGCCGCGGGACGCGCUGGGGCCGGGCAGCCGGGAAGCGGGGCGCUGACGGCUGGUGGGGGAGCUGCCCCCCAGAGCAGCAUGGAUGCCCCGCGAAGGGACAUGGAGUUGCUCAGCAACAGCCUGGCUGCCUACGCGCACAUCCGCGCCAACCCCGAGAGCUUCGGCCUCUACUUCGUGCUGGGCGUCUGCUUCGGCCUGCUGCUCACCCUCUGCCUGCUCGUCAUCAGCAUCUCGUGGGCGCCCCGCCCGCGGCCCCGGGGCCCGGCUCAGCGCCGGGACCCCCGCAGCAGCACCCUGGAGCCCGAGGACGACGACGAGGACGAGGAGGACACGGUGACUCGGCUGGGCCCCGACGACACGCUGCCGGGCCCCGAGCUGUCCGCAGAGCCGGACGGGCCCCUCAGCGUCAACGUCUUCACGUCGGCGGAGGAGCUAGAGCGGGCGCAGCGGCUGGAGGAGCGCGAACGGAUCCUGCGGGAGAUCUGGCGCACCGGACAGCCGGACCUGCUGGGCACAGGCACGCUGGGGCCCAGCCCCACGGCCACGGGCGCGGGCACCCUGAGCCGCAUGCACUAUUACUGAUGGGCCCCGGCUCC